GCCGGAGUGGCAUAGUGGUUUGAGUGUUGGACUACGACUCUGAAGACCGGGAUUUGAUUCCCAGCCCGGCC
Molecule: non-coding RNA, 71 nt
Organism: Phrynosoma platyrhinos (Desert horned lizard)
Lineage: Eukaryota; Metazoa; Chordata; Lepidosauria; Squamata; Phrynosomatidae
Source: the annotation of a GenBank genome assembly